ACAUAAAUGAAUAGUUACAACCUUUUCUCUCAGAUUUUCGAGGCCAAAACGGCCACUUUCUUGAAUAAAAUAAAAAAAAAUAUUUAACGAAGUUAAAUAAAAUCUCAUAUGCUUAAACCAAGGAAAAAAAAACAAAUCUCUUAUAACAAGGACAUUGACAAAUGUCCAGAUUUUGGUAGCUUUACACGUCAUACGACCGGUUAGGGGACAAACCCUAAAUCCAGAAAAAGUCUCUCUCUCAACCGCAGUUCUUCGACAAAACCAUGGACAACCAAUCGGUGAUACGUCACGCUGAUGGUAAGACAUGUGUGUUUUGGGAUGUAGAGGAUUACCCAAUCCCAGAUGGUAUUGAUCCUGCUUCGUUUUAUCUCGAUAUCCAAGAGGCUUUUAAGAAGCGGUUGUGAUAGGGAUGUGUCAAUCCAUGCUUACAUUGAUAAAUGUUCCGAUGAAUUGCGACGUGAAUAUGAGGAUGCUGGGUUCCAUAUCGAAUUCAUUCCCCUAGGGGGUAAAGAUGCGAGAAUUCGUAGCAUGUUUUUGGACAUGCUCUUGUGGGCAUUUGAAAGUCCUACACCAACAAAUGUGAUUUUACUCGCAAAAAACAUCGGAGAUGAAAUUGGUAAUCUUCUUUGUAGUUUGGAUAUCAGACGUCAUGGUAUUCUCUCAUCCCAAACUCAACCACGAUGGCAAAUUCCUAGUGAAAGGCAUACAUGGUUUUUGACUAGCCUAUUCGAUGGCCCUAACGGAAGCUCACAACGUCUUGACAAUAAGAAGACAUAUCCAAGGGAGAUUUGAUGUUUGGUUUCCAUAUAUAUGUAACGUGUUUAUUGUCUAUGAUUUUUAUGUGUUCUAACAUUAACAUGUAUUUCUCUCUUUUUUCUUGAUAUUGUCGACCAUUCCAUUUGCCUUCGUCACUGAAUUUGUUUUACUGUGGUUGCUGAAAACUGAAAAUUGGGAUUCGAGUUUUUCUUUGUAAUUUUCUUUUGGUUUCAAUCAUCCGAAAGCUGAAGCUAGAAAAUACGAGGAGUGGUUUGAAAAGAAAUCGCUGUGACUCCAAUUUUGAAUCAGGGAAGAGAUCCUCUAUAUAACGCUAGAGACUCGAGGGCUGAUUCAGCUUACGGAUCAAAGAAAUGGAGGGAGGAUCGAUACCAGCGAAAACUAUAUGCCAAAGCGGCUAAAACGUUUUCGAACACCAUUGAAGAUUUGAUGUCCGAAGGUCAUAAAGUUUAACUUGAGUAGUGCUGUUGUGGGGUACACUACUUUUGUUUCUCCCAACAGAGAGUAUUAGGGAUAACAACAUCCCACUCUUUGCUCAAAAAGAGAAAAAAAAGCAUCUCAUUCAAAACCAAUUGGCAAUAAAUAAAUUUGCCAAUAUCUUAUAUAUAUCAUUUAAGAUUAUGUUUAACUUCCAAUGUAAGAUAUUGUUAUCCCUAGUUAAUUAUCUAUAGGUGUUUUUCCGAUUUUUUUGAAAUUAUGUUAUAAAUACUUGUAUAUUAUAAAAAGUUCUUGUUAUACUUGAAUUUGUUGUCAUUGUGAUACCGAGGCAUUAUUUCCUAUUUAACCAUUCUCUUCUCCCAACUUGUGAUCCAUUUUCAAUGUGGUAAAAUUCUAGAAUAAUUAUUUAUGACAUUUCUCUGAUGCGUCAAUGAGAACUAGGCGUGAAUGUAUAUAUGCGCUAACAAACUUAUCUUUUUUUUUUUUUCUCAAAACAAAUCACUAGGUGCUUUGUCGAAGAUGAGCUUCUUUGUUCUUUCAUAUUUUUUAAUUUUCUAUUAUGAUUGAAUUGCUUGUUGUCUUGAUUUUGGGUCUUGUUGUAUACUUAAAUCCUUUCUAUCCUUAAUAGUUGUAUCCAAUUAAAAAAGAAUUUAUAAGCAACUUUUUUUAUACUGUAAUCAAUUUUUCUAUUGCGCCAAUGAGAGCAUAUGCGUUAAACUCUACUG
Arabidopsis lyrata subsp. lyrata is the source of this 1937-nucleotide long non-coding RNA. RefSeq lists it as uncharacterized. Lineage: Eukaryota; Viridiplantae; Streptophyta; Magnoliopsida; Brassicales; Brassicaceae. The record is from RefSeq and is a predicted model, not a curated record. The transcript is spliced from 4 exons.